Molecule: long non-coding RNA, 1721 nt
Organism: Haliotis rubra (blacklip abalone)
Lineage: Eukaryota; Metazoa; Mollusca; Gastropoda; Lepetellida; Haliotidae
Exons: 3
Source: RefSeq, a predicted model, not a curated record
AUCCCCAGGUUCAAAGAACAGAAAGAUAAUGAAAAAGAAGUAAGAGAUGAACUUGAUGAAGAUGAAGAGUGGUAUUGAUGGAUGUCACUGAUGAGGUUGAUGUUUGCUACUUAUAUUUUAAUUUUCAUCACCCUAUUUUAUAGUUUGCUGUUGUGUUCUGCAAGAAUAGUGACAAACAAAUACAUAUGCUGGAGAGGUAUCAAAUAGUCAGUUUGUGUGCUACUUAUGUUAUGGCUGAGUAAAGAUGACAUAUUUUACUGAAGAAUUUGAGAAAAAUUACAAUCUCUUAAUAGAAAGUUUGAACUUGAACUUGAAGUAGUGAUAAGAUGAUUCAGAAAGUAUUGAAAGGGUCACUCAGGAGGUAUUGACUGGAUAACACGGGACGGUAUUGACCAGAUUAUUCAGGAGGUAUUGACCAGAUUAUUCAGGAGGUAUUGACCAAAUGAUUCAGGAGGUAUUGACCAGAUUAUUCAGGAGGUAUAGACCAGAUUAUUCAGGAGGUAUUGACCAGAUUAUUCAGGAGGUAUUGACCAAAUGAUUCAAGAGGUAUUGACCAGAUUAUUCAGGAGGUAUUGACCAAAUGAUUCAAGAGGUAUUGACCAGGUUAUUCAAGAGGUAUUGACCAAAUGAUUCAGGAGGUAUUGACCAGAUUAUUCAGGAAGUAUUGACCAAAUGAUUCAAGAGGUAUUGACCAGAUUAUUCAGGAGGUAUUAACCAAAUGAUUCAAGAGGUAUUGACCAGAUUAUUUAGGAAGUAAUGACCAGAUGAUUCAAGAGGUAUUGACCAGAUUAUUCAGGAGGUAUUAACCAAAUGAUUCAAGAGGUAUUGACCAGAUGAUUCAGGACAUAUUAACAGCAUCAUUCAGGAGGUAUUGACCAAAUGAUUCAGGAGGUAUUAACAGAAUCAUUCAGGAGGUAUUGACCAAAUGGUUCAAGAGGUAUUGACCAAAUGAUUCAGGAUGUAUUAACAGAAUCAUUCAGGAGGUAUUGACCAACUGGUUCAAGAGGUAUUGACCAGAUUAUUCAGGAGGUAUUGACCAAACGAUUCAGGAGGUAUUGACCAGAUGAUUCAAGAGAUAUUGACCAAAUGAUUCAGGACGUAUUAACAGAAUCAUUCAGGAGGUAUUGACCAAAUGGUUCAAGAGACAUUGACCAGGUUAUUUAGGAGAAUUGACCUGAUGAUUCAAGAGAUAUUGACCAGAUGAUUCAGGAGGUAUUAACAGCAUCAUUCAGGAACUAUUGACCAAAUGAUUCAGGAGGUAUUGACCAGAUGAUUCAGGAGGUACUGACCAAAUGAUUCAGGAAGUGUUUACAAGAUGACUCAGGAGGUACUGACCAUAUGAUUCAGGAGAUAUUGACCAUAUGAUUCAGGAGAUAUUGAUCAUAUGAUUAAGGAGAUACUGACCAUAUGAUUCAGGAGAUAUUGACCAGAUGAUUCAGGAGAUAUUGACCAGAUGAUUCAGGAGGUACUGACCAUCUGAUUCAACAGGUAUUGACCACAUGACCAGGUAAUUCAGGAGGUACUGACCAGAGGAUUCCAUGAGUAUUGACAGGAUGAAUCACAAGGAAAUGACCAGAUGAUUGAAAAGGUAUGGACAAUGUGAUUGAGGAGGUACUGAACAGAUGAUUCAAUAAGUAUUGACAGGAUGAUUCACAAAGUAUAUACAGGUAUUGACAAAAUAUAUUAGCAGAGAUUGUUUUGAGGUACACUUAUUUAAGAUA